Molecule: ribosomal RNA, 408 nt
Filed under: uncultured bacterium
Lineage: Bacteria
Description: partial 16S ribosomal RNA
Rfam family: Bacterial small subunit ribosomal RNA
Source: RNAcentral
GACGAACGCUGGCGGCGUGCUUAACACAUGCAAGUCGAACGAAGUGGCGAACGGGUGAGUAAGGCGUAAUCAACCUGCCCUUCAGAGGGGGACAACAGUUGAAAACGACUGCUAAUACCGCAUACUGAAGGAGGGGAUUGCGUCUGAUUAGCUAUUUGGGGGGGUAACGGCCCACCAAGGCGAUGAUCAGUAGCCGGUCUGGGAUGAGGAACGGCGACAUUGGGACUGAGACACGGCCCAGACUCCUACGGGAGGCACCAGUGGGGAGUCUUCCGCAAUGGACGAAAGUCUGACGGAGCAACGCCGCGUGAGUGAUGACGACCUUCGGGUUGUAAAGCUCUGUUAAUCGGGACACGGUACCGGAAUAGAAAGCCACGGCUAACUACGUGCCAGCAGCCGCGGUAAUUC